This 242-nucleotide ribosomal RNA is filed under the name uncultured bacterium. RNAcentral describes it as "partial 16S ribosomal RNA". It matches the Rfam family "Bacterial small subunit ribosomal RNA", at positions 92 to 334 of the family's 1533-position model. The record is from RNAcentral.
CGACCGGCAAACGGGUGCGGAACACGUACACAACCUUCCUUCAAAUGGGGAAUAGCCCAGGGAAACUUGGAUUAAUACCCCGUAACAUUAUGAAGUGGCAUCACUUUAUAAUUAUUGCUCCGGCGUUUGGAGAUGGGUGUGCGGCUGAUUAGGUAGUUGGCGGGGUAACGGCCCACCAAGCCUUCGAUCAGUAACUGGUGUGAGAGCACGACCAGUCACACGGGCACUGAGACACGGGCCCG